AAUUUUAUUUCUAGACAAAUCCUUAACCAUUAACGACAGAAAGAAGAACGCUUAGUUCCAUUACAA
Molecule: small RNA, 66 nt
Filed under: Arabidopsis thaliana (thale cress)
Lineage: Eukaryota; Viridiplantae; Streptophyta; Magnoliopsida; Brassicales; Brassicaceae
Description: ATSL168550
Source: RNAcentral